This 253-nucleotide ribosomal RNA is filed under the name uncultured bacterium. Its description in RNAcentral is "partial 16S ribosomal RNA". It matches the Rfam family "Bacterial small subunit ribosomal RNA", at positions 524 to 776 of the family's 1533-position model. The record is from RNAcentral.
UACGAAGGUCCCAAGCGUUAUCCGGAUUUAUUGGGUUUAAAGGGUGCGUAGGCGGGCUAUUAAGUCAGUGGUGAAAGCCCCAAGCUUAACUUGGGAACUGCCAUUGAUACUGAUGGUCUUGAGUACAUUUGAGGUGGGCGGAAUGUGUCAUGUAGCGGUGAAAUGCUUAGAUAUGACACAGAACACCGAUUGCGAAGGCAGCUAACUACGCGAAUAUUGACGCUGAGGCACGAAAGCGUGGGGAUCAAACAGG